GUUAGGAAUAUUGGACAAUGGGCGAAAGCCUGAUCCAGCCAUGCCGCGUGAACGAUGAAGGCCUUCGGGUUGUAAAGCUCUUUAGUCCACGAAUAUAAUGACUGUAGUGGAAGAAUAAGCCCCGGCUAACUUCGUGCCAGCAGCCGCGGUAAUACGAAGGGGGCGAGCGUUAUUCGGAAUCACUGGGCGUAAAGCGUGCGUAGGCUGUUUUGUAAGUCAGAAGUGAAAGCCCAGGGCUUAACCCUGGAAUUGCUUUUGAAACUACAAGACUCGAAUUCGGGAGAGGAUAGCGGAAUUGUCAGUGUAGCAGUGAAAUGCGUAGAUAUUGACAGGAACACCAGUGGCGCAAGCGGCUAUCUGGACCGAUAUUGACGCUGAGGCACGAAAGCGUGGGGAGCAAACAGGAUUAGAUACCCUUGUAGUCC
This 425-nucleotide ribosomal RNA is filed under the name uncultured bacterium. Its description in RNAcentral is "partial 16S ribosomal RNA". It matches the Rfam family "Bacterial small subunit ribosomal RNA", at positions 354 to 796 of the family's 1533-position model. The record is from RNAcentral.